UACGGGGGGGGCAAGCGUUGCUCGGAAUUACUGGGCGUAAAGGGCUCGUAGGCGGCCAACUAAGUCAGACGUGAAAUCCCUCGGCUUAACCGGGGAACUGCGUCUGAUACUGGAUGGCUUGAGUUUGGGAGAGGGAUGCGGAAUUCCAGGUGUAGCGGUGAAAUGCGUAGAUAUCUGGAGGAACACCGGUGGCGAAGGCGGCAUCCUGGACCGACACUGACGCUGAUGAGCGAAAGCCAGGGGAGCAAACGGG
Molecule: ribosomal RNA, 253 nt
Filed under: uncultured bacterium
Lineage: Bacteria
Description: partial 16S ribosomal RNA
Rfam family: Bacterial small subunit ribosomal RNA
Source: RNAcentral